Molecule: RNase P RNA, 381 nt
Filed under: Desulfobacteraceae bacterium
Lineage: Bacteria; Pseudomonadati; Thermodesulfobacteriota; Desulfobacteria; Desulfobacterales; Desulfobacteraceae
Description: RNase P RNA component class A
Rfam family: Bacterial RNase P class A
About the family: Ribonuclease P (RNase P) is a ubiquitous endoribonuclease, found in archaea, bacteria and eukarya as well as chloroplasts and mitochondria.
Source: RNAcentral
GGAGUAGGACAGAUGGCCGCUGCCUUGCCCUGGAUGGCAGGGGGGAGGAAAGUCCGGGCUCCACAGGACAGGAUGCUGGGUAAUGCCCAGUCCCGGUGACGGGAAGGAUAGUGCCACAGAAAGUAAACCGCCUGCCUCUUAUUGAGGAAGGUAAGGGUGAAAAGGUGAGGUAAGAGCUCACCAGUCCCACCGGUGACGGCGGGAGCUAGGUAAACCCCAUCCGGAGCAAGACCAAAUAGGGGGGCGCCAAGGAUGGUCCGUCCGUGCCCCCGGGUAGGUUGCCUGAUCCUGCCGGCAACGGCAGGACUAGAGGAAUGGUCAUCAUCCCGCAGGGGGUGACCGCUGAGGGAAACAGAACCCGGCUUACGGCCUGCUCCGACA